UUGACCUCGGAUCAGGGUGGGGAUACCCGCUGAACUUAAGCAUAUCAAUAA
RNAcentral lists this ribosomal RNA (51 nucleotides) under Tuber borchii (whitish truffle). Its description in RNAcentral is "partial 28S ribosomal RNA". Lineage: Eukaryota; Fungi; Ascomycota; Pezizomycetes; Pezizales; Tuberaceae. The record is from RNAcentral.